RNAcentral lists this ribosomal RNA (372 nucleotides) under uncultured Glomeromycotina. RNAcentral's name for it is "eukaryotic LSU rRNA". Lineage: Eukaryota; Fungi; Glomeromycota. The record is from RNAcentral.
UUGAAAGGGAAACGAUUGAAGUCAGUCGUACCUGCGGGUAAUCAGCCUUUUGGGCAUGAUUCUGUGGAGCGUGAGGAGUUAAACGCCUUCAUGCCUGCAUAUUCGUGUACUUUGGGUGUACUUGCCUGUGUGGUUAGUUAACAUCAAUUUUGGUUAUCAUAAAAUGGCUGGAGGAAUGUAGCUUCGAUUUCGAUUGAAGUGUUAUAGACUUCGGCAGAUGUGAUGAUCGGGAUUGAGGAUUGCAACGGAUACCCUUCGGGGCUACCUGUCUGAUCUCUGAUCGUUGCUCUGGUGCCAAAAGCGUGCUUACGGUUAUCAAAGUCGAUGGUCAAUAGGUUAGAAUGGGUUAAAUUCGUUAAGGAUGUUGACGUA